RNAcentral lists this ribosomal RNA (253 nucleotides) under uncultured bacterium. RNAcentral describes it as "partial 16S ribosomal RNA". It matches the Rfam family "Bacterial small subunit ribosomal RNA", at positions 524 to 776 of the family's 1533-position model. The record is from RNAcentral.
UACGGAGGGUGCAAGCGUUACCCGGAAUCACUGGGCGUAAAGGGCGUGUAGGCGGCUUAUUAAGUCUGGCUUUAAAGACCGAGGCUCAACCUCGGGAGUGGGCUGGAUACUGGUGAGCUAGACGACUGGAGGGGAGGGUGGAAUUCUCGGUGUAGCGGUGGAAUGCGUAGAUACCGAGAGGAACACCAGUGGCGAAGGCGGGUCUCUGGGCCGAUACUGACGCUGAGGAGCGAAAGCGUGGGGAGCGAACAGG